This 5957-nucleotide long non-coding RNA is filed under the name Phaseolus vulgaris (common bean). Its description in RNAcentral is "long non-coding RNA (PVUL_LNC004394)". The record is from RNAcentral. Lineage: Eukaryota; Viridiplantae; Streptophyta; Magnoliopsida; Fabales; Fabaceae.
GUAUCGAAAUUGAGAAAGAAGUAACAGUCUCUUACAGAAGGGAAACUGAUUAGAUUUUUGAUUUUUAUCUCUUUUGAAGAAAGCAAAGCAGAUAAGCAUAUAUUCUAACACACCCUACUUAUGAUUAUGACUGAAGAUGGCCAACCAUUUUAAAUCAAACCCAUAGCAAAGAAGCAUCUCACUUUAGCUUAUGUUUUGGUGACAUUCUCUUUGUAGCUCAACUUUUUUUCCUUUCUUUUCUAAAGAAUUUAUAGCAGCCAACCAGUCUUAUCAACAACUUUGAUUGCUCCUGCCUACCAAAUAUGUUCCAAACUUGCAAUUCAUUCAUUCUUCAUAUUCAAAAUUCCCUCACAAUCUUCUUACUGCUAUUUUUCUUAUUUCCCUACUUCUAUCACAACUUUUUAUUACUCAAUUUGGCAAGAUCAUAGGUUCAUCACUGCUCAUGUUCCAGGCUGUUUAAUAUCUUGUCAAGUAAUAUAAAGCAAAUAACUUAAAAAACCAAAAAUCAAACUAUUCAAAGAUGGGGGAUGGAUGCUAUCUGUAACAAUUACAGCUCGUUUUUUGCUUUUACCUUCUUUAAGUUGCUUUGCCAUUCUUCUUUUGGUGUCUUUUGUGGUUUUGUGGUGGCCUUAUUCAGUGAGUACUCAUUGGUCCGUGAUCGUCAUGCUGAGCCUUAUGGGGCACACUUUGGUUCACAACAAUUUUACAAAGAGACUACACCUUUAAGACCAGUCUUCAGAAUCCAGGAAAGCCUAAACGUGUAACAUUUUCAUCUUUGUUGUGCUGCAUACUGUAAAAAUGUUAAUCAUAGGAACUGGUUCCAACCAAAAUGUUUAGAUAGAUAGUGCCACACAUUUUAUAACGGCAAAUAGGUGUAUCAAGAAGUUGCACUUGGCAUUGUACAUACCGUACCACAUAUCCUUUGUAUUAAUAGGACCCCACUAUGCAUUUUAUUUAUUUAUUUCCCAUUUUGGCAAAAGAAUCUUAACAAAUUAAACAAUUUUGUACACUGAAAUGCUAGAUGACACGAAGAAAAUAGAGAGAAGAAGGAAAGUAUAAAUUUAACAGGUGAUGUCAAAGUAAUUGAUUAAGAGAACUUGUAAGUGUUAAUGGUGUAUUCAAAGUAAUUGAUCAUUAUAGUUCUCAAAUGUUAUUGUCUAAAGAGGAAUGACAUGAAAUGAUCAAUUACUUUUUUUUUUACUCUUUAGACAGUAACACUUGAGAAUAUGAUAUUACACUGAUAUCCGUAAAACAUGUACAUUGACGUACGUGUAAAGAAUUUUGGCAUUUGGCAUCCUCUAGGGAUCAACGAAGGUGGUGAUGUUAUUGCGGCAAGAUCAAUAAACAAGACUUUUUUGGGACACAACAAGAGUGCAAUUACUUUCAUAAUCUUUCUAAUGAAAUAGUUUACCCGCCAAAGAAAAGUGAGUCGUUUGGUUUGGACCCCUUAGAAACUAACCAUGUAAGGAUCCCAAAGUUACCACACAAACAAUCUAAAAUACUAUCUUUUAUUUGAAGAUAAAGUGCUUGUGCUUCUCUCGAUUUGAUGGUCAUGUACCACGGAAAGAUAACCUUGUCUAACACAGACCAUUCUCCCCAAGAUUAGCAUGUAACAACAUGUUAGGCCUUUGGCAUAUCAAUGUAAUAAAUAAUCAGAAGAGAAUAAAAAGCAUAUUCUCCUAAGGAGAUGUGAUUUGAAACGAGGUGACACUCUCAAAAGGCAGUUUCAAACCAUAGGAAGAAAAAUGAAAAAUAGAAAGCAGCGAGUCAUUUUAACUCUCACUUUAAUAGUAAGAAAAGAAAAGAAAAUCUAGAAAAGAGGAGAUAAAUUUCAAUCCGCUGGUUGUUUCACUUGGACCAUGACCAGUCACCCUUCUUCAGAUUUAAGAAUAAACCAAGGAAUUUAUGCUUUCGACAGUUCCUAGUUGCAUGUGGUAUUUUAUGUUAAAUAAAGUAAAAUAAGAGAAAGGGAGAGAGUGAGAGAGGGAGGGCAAGAAAUUUUGAAGGGACAAAUAGUUUGGGAAUCCAUCUAAUCUAAAAGUAGAACAAAGCAUAAAGGUAACAUUCAGCCCAAGAAAUAUAGUAGUGUUGUUUUUGUUACCUUGGGAAGUGAGCUUGGAAUUCUAAAGUUACUUGGAGAUCUUAGAGAAGUUAGAAAAGUACAUAAAGCAAGAGUUUGUUUCUUUUGGGGACUGUUCUAUUCCCCUAUCUAUUCUUUACAUAACCUGCAUGCACUGUUGCAAUCUCCUGCUUCAGCCUGGCCCAUUGUCACUGUUUUGGUCUUGCUAAUUAAAGGAAAUAAUAUUUAACAUGGCCCUUUCUUAAUAACAAAGGAAUUGUAAUUUACCAUUAACCCCAUAUAAGACCAGAGUUUUAUAUGCUGAAAACCUGCACCUUUUUGCAAAUUUAUAAUGCAGCUUGUUAUGAGAUAACAUGCAUUAAGCUGACAUAAUUAGAUAUUAAGAUUCAACAUAUAAAAUUAAUAUAAUAUAAACACGAAACAGAAAUCCUAAAUCAGAACAAAGGCAUUAACAUAAGUGGGUUUUUGUUGUUAUAAUAAAAUACUAUCAUCCAAUCAUUGAGGUACUUCACUUGUAUUGGUACACAAAUUUAAAAGAUAUUUGCAACAUAUAGGCAAAAAGUAUGCAAAAGAAUUCAAUAGAUACAUACAGAAUGAUAAAUAUUUUGAAUUAUCCAAGUACGCCAAUACCAAGCUUAACACUGGAGAAUGUAAGACCUAUUUAUCCAUACACAAGUAUAGCAGUAUGAUGUGGCAAGUUGGACAGAGUCCUGGCAACGGUGUAUGGCUUCUUUUGGAGAAAAAAGCAGGCAUAUGAUAGACAUGUAGGGAAAGAAAUGAAAAAAGAAAUAUACUUGGCCUCUCAAGGACAUUGUCCCAACUCCCUUUAUUCAUCCUUGUCAGAUUCUUCAAUAACAGCCUUAAUUAGCUAAGAUUUCAGGCUUGUGAUUCGAGAUGAAUCUAAAAUUCCUGUAGGCCAUCUCUGCUUUAAGCUUUAAAGUCCCCUCCAAAUCUAGUAUGACAUAUAUAACAAGGUUAUGUCUACAGGAAUGGACCAUAAGAACACAGAUUAGGGGAGAGCUGCUUAUUCUCCUGUCACUCUAAACAGAAAGAGCACACCAUCUAUCUAUUCUUCUUGUUUCAGAGUGAAGAGAAUAUGGUGUUUCAUCCUUCUAGAAAAAUCAUUCUUCUUCUCUUUGUGGGUUUCUUAAUAUCAAUUCAACCAGAGAAUGUGUUAGGCCUGAGAAGUUCAGAAAUUGCACUAAGACACAGCCAAAAAGACCAAAGGAUAUUGUUGCAGAAUCAACACGCUACGAAGACUACAGAGGAAUUAUUGAACACAGAGAAGAAUUCAGCAAAUGGCAACAAACGGCUUGGUCCCACAGAGAAGAUUUCAGCCAAUUUCAACCAUGAGUUUGAUCCAAGUCAGUCCAGCAAAAGAAGAGUGCCAAGGGGAUCAGAUCCUAUCCACAACAGGACUUAAGAAAUUCAUCUUGUUCCUUUGACUACGAAAGAAAGCAACACUAAGCUGACAUCUAAGAGAGCAACAACACUUGGAAGCUUGAAAACGAAGAGCAGGUUAGAAAUAUGGUCGAACUGUACCUACAUUCUGAAAAUAUCUUCACAACAGUUGUUUGGUUUUCCCCUUCUUUUCAAUCUAGUUUUUAAGAGUUUUGUCAAAGAGAGGCAUGUAUUUUGUACAGUCAAGCUACUGCAUAAUUUUUAUAGAUAGCAAUUCAGUGAAGCAGCAUCAUCCAAAACGUUAGUAUAGAUGAUAAUCCGAGCUCCUCCAAUCCAACAGAAAAAUGUUUUCUUUUAGUUUCGUCCAGUGAAAUGAAAUACCCAUAUGCACUAGUAUUACAGUUUCAGCAAGAUUACAGUGAAAUUCUUUUGUAAUGCUGUCGUGUUUUAGAAGUAUUUCAAGUCUAAUGAUCUUUCUCAUCUUCAUUUUUUCGAUCCAACAGACAACAAGUCUUGUUCCUUAACCAACAAAAGUAAAGUUUAUGAGCCAUAUUAUACAUAACAGAGCUCUGGACACCUGUAUUGUCUCAUCAUGUCAUGUAGAGAAGUACUGGAUGGAAAUUUGUCCCACAGUCUUUCUUUUAUUUUGCCUGUUUCUUGCGAUUGUGGAGUGCAUGUGUUUGCUGAACAAGAAAAAUGGUUUGCUAAGAAAAAUUGAAAGAAGAAUACCGGUAAUAUUAUCAAACAAAAAUAAGUCAUUCAUAUAAAAAGAUGAUAAAUUCGUUCGUACGCCAGAGGACAAGUAGCUUGCCAAAAGCAAGGUGUUGUUACUUAUUAAGUGUCAACCCAUCAAGGCAUCAUUUUUUUUUUCAAAAUAUGAUGAAUAGUUUCAGUUUCGUAAUACUUCAUUUGCUUUAAAAUCAAAAUGGAAUACUAAAAUAUCAUCCAACAUGAAGUCAUUCCUCUUGUUGAUCAUCAAAGUCACUACAAAACCUCUAAUAGUAGCAUACGCAACAUGCAAACUUAAGAAAGUGAUGCUUCAACAUUCACCGAGUGUACAAUGUGGGGAAGAGUGAGAACCAAGAAUUGAAAGUUAAUAUCCUUUUCAUAAUUAACAUACACUAAGAUUCUUGAUGAAUGUUCCUGAGAUGUGACAGAUUGUAAUGACUAAUGCGGAUGUGAACAGUAUUGGUGUCAAAAGCAUAACAUUGGGAUUGAAGUAUGGUCAGCCUAUAUCAGAUAACGGUUAGGAAGCAUGAUUGAACUAAAAGUUCUAUGUGAGUGAGUACUAUUUUUCACCUAUUCAGGCUAAAGCAGAAUCUACUUAUAUAUUGUAUUUCUUCCAAAUCUUUCUGGUUCCUUAGCCCCAAUCCGUAUAGAGGCUAGACUGAAGAACUAUCCAAUACUGUAUGAUCCAAAGCAGCAAAAUACAACUGAUACGUAUUUGCUUGUACACAGAUUUCUCGGGUUGCACCCAUGCAUCAUGAUAUUUUCUUCAUCCCAGUUGUUCAUUGGUUCCUGUAACUGUAUAAAUACAGUUAAAAGGUUGAUGGGUAGAAUAAUAAUCUUAUUGAAAUAGUUGUUGGAACCACAAGCAGAGUGGCAACAUCCGAUUUUAACAAGGAAAUUGUUCUUAGUAAAUUCAGACAGAGGAGCGUGUUCACUGUGCAGCUGUUUUUGAUUGUGAUGGUAAAAUUUAAGCUCUGGCUAGAGAAAUUAGAAUCUAGAUAGCCUUUUUAACGAGCGACUUGCAUGUGUAAUGCCAUUACUUCAUAUCUCCAAUUUGCAACAGUUAUAAAAAUCGCCAUUAUUCAAAAGUAGCAACAUAUAGUUCCCAUAAUUGCAUAUAAUACCCCAUCAACAACCCUUUAUUUCUUGCAAUCUCUAAGUGAAGUAAAUUUGGGAAUAUUGAAUUUCUAAUUUUCCCAAACCUUCAUUUCUAACAAUAUCUGUAAGUGAAGUGAAUUUAUUUCCUCUUUCUCUUGAUGGAGUCCUCACAUUUGCAGCGUGAGGAAGAUGUGCAGGAACCAAGUUUUGUAAAUAUAAUAAUCGAAUCAAAGCAUCCCAAUAUCAUAGAUUUUGAAAAAGUCGAAAUAGAAUAAAACAAUUUUACAGAGAAGAUUCAGCAGAGGAUAAUGGAGGUAAAACAAAUUUUACACUGAAAACAAAUAAAAAAAUGGAAGUAAUACCAAGAUGCAGAUAGCAACUUCAGAGUUUAUCUUCCAUACAUUCAUUCCAUCAUCCAUCACCAGCUCGAAAAGUUCUAUGUUUCCAGCUAAGGAAUCUCGAACCAGAAGAUAACUAAAACGUCGCCGUUAGUUCCGUGAAAAUCAAUGGGCCAAUAUUAGUGUCAACCCAUUAAAGGAAUUGGGCUUGCUUUAUUGAUAUUGAACUACUCCAAGCCCCGUAGGAGAUUGUAAUGAAAAUGUCGAGGAUGCUUCUUAUUAUACCCUAUAGAUAGGUUCUUCUGGUAUCC